This 787-nucleotide long non-coding RNA is filed under the name Homo sapiens (human). RNAcentral's name for it is "HSALNT0297247". The record is from RNAcentral. Lineage: Eukaryota; Metazoa; Chordata; Mammalia; Primates; Hominidae.
AAAUCAUGCAGAAGACAACAGUUUUGUGAUGUGGCAAUUUGGCCCAGCUGAACUUUUUUUUUUUUUUUUCCCCCAGAAUUCCUUCCCUGCCUGUUUCUAUUUAGGGAGGGUGGUUGUGAAGUAGCAGCCAUUUUGUUUUUAUGCUCAAAAUGUUGGGCAGGAUACUUUUGUAGCUCACAUAUGUUGUUGCUUCUCUGCUGGCUCAUUUGAUGGCUAUGGGGCAGCAGCUCAGCCUGCCACCACCUCUAGAUGUUUCUUCAGCUUCUCCAACUCCAAGGCUGGGAAGAAUAUGAAGUCAAGGAAGACCAUCCACAGAAAAGAUGCUUGCCAAACUCCCAGGUUCCUGGCAGAAUGAAUAAUGUGAAUAAAAUGCAUGUUUAGUCCAACAGUCCUUCUUAAGUGGUAUAUAAAUAAAUAGUAUACAAUAAUAGAUUUUGUAUGGUGCAAUUGUUUUUAUUCAGAAAUGUAGAUACAUAGAAAUACAGUAUCUUAAAAACAUAGGAAGUUCCAGGGCUGCCCACUUACUGCUUCCUGUAUCAGGCGGCAUGAGAGUUACUGAGGAUACAAAGAUGAGUGAGACACUGCCCUGUAAAGCCAUAAUUGAGUUCACCUUUAUGAAUCUGUGUCUUAAUUCUGACACAUCAUUUGAAAGUCAUUUUUGGGGUAAAGGGGAAGGAAUCAGGAGAAGAUUAGAAAAAUCUCCAAUGACAUCUUAAUUAUAAAGGUAGGGGAAGCUUUGUUUUGGAGGGCACUUUAUGUAGAACUAAAGUAUUUUACAUAAUCCUAG